GAGGGGAGCUAGCGUUGUUCGGAAUUACUGGGCGUAAAGCGUGCGUAGGCGGUUACUCAAGUCAGAGGUGAAAGCCCGGGGCUCAACCCCGGAACGGCCUUUGAAACUAGGUAACUAGAAUCUUGGAGAGGUUAGUGGAAUUCCGAGUGUAGAGGUGAAAUUCGUAGAUAUUCGGAAGAACACCAGUGGCGAAGGCGACUAACUGGACAAGCAUUGACGCUGAGGCACGAAAGCGUGGGGAGCAAACAGGAUUAGAUACCCUGGUAGUCCACGCCGUAAACGAUGAUAACUAGCUGUCCGGGCACUUGGUGCCUGGGUGGCGCAGCUAACGCAUUAAGUUAUCCGCCUGGGGAGUACGGUCGCAAGAUUA
This 370-nucleotide ribosomal RNA is filed under the name uncultured bacterium. RNAcentral's name for it is "bacterial SSU rRNA". It matches the Rfam family "Bacterial small subunit ribosomal RNA", at positions 527 to 896 of the family's 1533-position model. The record is from RNAcentral.